ACUUUUGUUUCUUUGCAGAUAAUGGAUUUAUACCUGACACAAUGCUUGAGGAUGUUAUGAAAGCAUUGGAUUUAGUGUCAGACCCUGAAUAUGUAAAUAUUAUGAAGAGCAAAUUAGACCCUGAAGGAUUAGGAAUCAUCUUACUGGGAACAUUUCUACAAGAAUUUUUUCCUGAGCAGGAAUCUACGAUUCCCGAUUCAUUUACUGUUUAUCACUACAAUGGGUUGAAGCAGUCUAACCACAGUGAAAAGGU
This is a long non-coding RNA of Rhincodon typus (whale shark), 253 nucleotides long. RefSeq lists it as uncharacterized. The transcript is spliced from 3 exons. Lineage: Eukaryota; Metazoa; Chordata; Chondrichthyes; Orectolobiformes; Rhincodontidae. The record is from RefSeq and is a predicted model, not a curated record.